Long non-coding RNA from Etheostoma cragini (Arkansas darter), 2800 nucleotides. RefSeq lists it as uncharacterized. NCBI's taxonomy places the organism in Eukaryota, Metazoa, Chordata, Actinopteri, Perciformes, Percidae. The transcript is spliced from 3 exons. The record is from RefSeq and is a predicted model, not a curated record.
GCUUAAGCAGGGUGCUGUCCUGUGGCAUGGCUGAGCCAGAGUGACACUGCCACCAUCCACAGAAACAAAACAUGAGUCAAGCACCAGAAGGUUCUGGAGAGGGAGCGUCAUGAUGCCCCCUGCAGCAGCAGCAGCCACCAGGUUCUGGAUGUUGGCUGUGGGCAGGGAGAGAACGAGGCCCUGUUGCCCACCCAGGUGUCCGCCUGCGUUGAAGGGGAUGAGGAUGGGCUGGUUCAUGCCUGGCGCUGCACCGGACAUCACACCGCCAACUGCAUUGGCCAGCUGCUGGGCUACCAGGAGAGACUACAGCAGAAACACAAAACACACAUACUUUUUAUAAUUUUUUUUCUCUAAUAUAUUUCAUUUCAUCAAACAACAUUGUGUCAUCUGAGACAUUUUGGAAGUAGUAUGUCCUUCUUUUAAUACCAGCUAAAUUCUGAAUAAACUAAACACUGUCAUGUGAUUUAGUUUGAUAAUUUCAAAUUACUUUACCAUAUUUGAGUAAAAAAGAAACACAUAGGAAAAUUUGUAGCAAAGAGGGUGGAGGUGCAGAGGGGUUGUUUAGUUAAAUAUGUUAGUCUAGUGUGCCUGACUCUUGAUCCUUUAACUGACUGAGGUUUGUGCAAAUUAGAACCUAUGGCCAUGACCAUAACUCAAAAAUAUCAGAAGCCUAACUUUGCUGUGUAUUGAUAAAUCCAUGGCGCUGUCCGUGGUGCUAUAAAAGCAGACCAAUUUGUAAUAGCGACUUUUUCUCUGAGUCCAACCCUCUGUCAGUUUCGCUUGUUGCGAGAGAAUGAAACAAAACAGUUCCGUCUCACCUAUUAAGAGUUAUCAAAUCACCUGCUAAAAACCAACAGGUAUCACACAAUGGCAAAUAUAUGAAAAUCACAUUACAACAAGUGUUCUACUGCUAUAUAUUACCAAACCAAACUCUUUGGGUAAAAUUAUUACUUUAAUAGCUCAUUUAAGAUCUAAAUCAUAUUAUAUAUACACAGUAUAUACAUAUAUACACACACUGUAUUGUACAUAUCUAUUCUGGGAUGCUUAAUUGAAGUGACUGUAUCACUAAUCAAUGUGUUUUGAUUAAUGCAGUUGUUAUGUUGAUGAAUUCUUGCUUUAUUGUGUCACAGACUGAUAGUAAAAACACACUGCCGUUGGUACUGAUAGAGAUCAAAUUCAAUCUUUGUGAAAGAGUUGAGAAUUUUUCUUUCACGGCGAUGCAGAGUGAUUUAUGUUUCAUCCCAUUGAACAAAUCCCUGGUACCACAGAAAUGUGCCUGAAAUACAUAGUGCUUUUCCAACAAAAAAUAAAAAAGUAGCAGUACUUUACUCUUUUGAUGAGGGAUAUAACACAUCACUCUCAGCUCUUCAUGUUUCCAUUCAUUCACAUUAGUUCAAGUGGAUUUGCUGCAGUCAUACCCAUAGAGGAAAAGAUAUGUUAUCAGAAGUAUCGCUCUGAGAUAUUUUGCACAGUAGAUCUCUUCAAAUGUAUUUUCCGAGGAAGUGGGUUUGGAUAGACACCAACACAUUUUUAAUCGAGAGCUUUGAGCCUGAAGUGGGAAUGUUUGUACCAUGGCCUAAAUCUCCAUUAAUACACAGGGAAUGACAUCUUACAUUUUAUUCAUUCUGAUAAAACCCUUUUCAAAUUAUGUCAGCGUUUGAGCAUGUCAAACUGAAUUUACACAGGAGGGAUGAGACAGGAGUUACUGAGGAUGUUGCAAAAUCCAACAAAAUUAAUGUUUAAACAUUAAAUUGAAUUGUUUGGAAUAAAAUGACAAGAGUACACUGUCACCUUGUGUUGUGUCCAGACUAAAGCAGCCUUUAGAUGUUGCUAGGUAAGCCUGGCUGCACUGUGUUGACUCCUCCACUGUGACUUAAGUUCACAAGCCUUUAACUCCAAUUGUCAGCUAUCUGCCUCUGUUUUGCAUGGUGUGUCUGCCACUUGCACAGAAUGCAGAGCGGGCUGACUGGUGCGAAGACCUCACCGUACUCCCAAACCUGGUGCUCCUAGGUGACAGGCGUGUCACUGUGAUAACCCUGCAUGGAGCAGAACGCCUGCACCCACUGCGACAUACAUGCGAUCACAGUUUAAGAGGUACUGUUGGAAAGCUGUUGUACAGGGGUUGGCAGGCCUGACAGAUGAGUGUUGAGAAGUGGUCUCCUAGGGGCCACACGGACACACAGACUGGGUGUGUGUUGGGCUCUGGAUGGGGACGUAGCCCCACUCAGGACUGGAUCUGGUACCCAGCCUCUCUGCCCAUCAAGGGAGAACAGGCCCUUCUAUUUGCUUGGCAGCUCUGGCACUGAGAAAUUGCCCAUAAUGACCCAGAUAGCAGACUUUUGUCAUCCUAACUGCGAGUGGGAAACAGAAAGAAGGUGGAUUCAUGUUGGGUAAACUACCAUCGGAUAAUGGUUGUUUGAACAAUAUCCGGCUCUGGAGCCAGAAUCUAUCAAAACAUAUUGAUCCUGGAACAAGAGAAUUGGGUAUGGCAUGCGGAGCGCCUUUGUUUCUGAAAAGUGUUAGCUUCGCAGAGACUGUACUGACAGCAUUAAUAUAUUAGAUGGUGACUGUUGAGAGCCGCCUGCUGAGGCUCAGACUGUAACUGCUGCCUGCUAGACAUGCUUUCCUUUUGUGUGUAUUUCUUAUCUAUUACAAGAACAGUGGCUUUGACCAGCUACUGUGUCUCUAAUCAGAAAAGUGCUUUUAAUUAAGCUCAUUCUUCAUCUUCACUUGCAGCAGAUUGACUCUUUCACUGGGGAGUUCUCACCCUAUAAACCUGCCCAACAAAACUGAACGACUC